AACAGAAUGGGGAAGCAGCUGUAAGCGGCACGUGAGAUGCAUUCUUAGCGGUCAUCACACUCAUCAGACGGCGAACGUUCUGCUUUGUUGAGAACGUGUCGAUUUUUAUUUUAUUACCUACCUACAGCAGAAUGUUUGCUAAUUUAUGUUUGGUCAGGUAGUUUAGCUCUGAGAAACAAAAGUGUUAUUGUCCAUAGUUAUUUGUUAUCUUAACAAACAGUAAGAUUACAAAAGCACAUUGGAUGUGUUUGCUAUAAUUAUUGUUGAUCAUUAUUUGAGGCCGGUGAUAGUUAAUUUAAAGAAAUAAUAAAGGCGCCAAAAAUGCUCAAGCUUACGGCUUUCGCCCUUUAAGUAGGUCGAAUAGGUAGUUACUGCAUAAUACCUACAUUAGAAAGUAAAUAUGGCAGUGAACAACACAGUCGCAGUGAUACAAAAGAGAUAAUUCAAUUAUUAUAUCACUCAACAAAAUAUUUGACUUUACUACUUACACUACACUACUUACUUCCAUUUUACUUACUUAAAGAUCCUGGUUUUAUCGCUUCUCUAUUUAAUUACGCGACACACUUUAGUUUUGUGUUUCUUAUUAAUUUUAAUAAGGGAACAAGUUCUUGAUUUAUAUCAUAUUCGAUCAUUUAUUACUAAAUUGUUCUUUUAUCGUAUCCAUCAGCAGCAAGUGUUAUUAACCCUAAAGAUGGGAAAACAAGUGACCAAGUCCAAAUUCGGUUUUGAGUUCUAUUUCAAGGCAACAGACGAAUUAGGUGUUAUCUAAUGACGGGCAGUUGGAAGAUUCUUGGCAGUUUAGAUUUCUGUAAUAGCCUUUUCAAGAUCUUUCUUUUCCAACAACCUUGGAAACAGAGUUGCAUUUAUAAUUGAAGAAUGACGUAAUAAAAGAGUUAAGAACCAAACGUCUCGGAAAAAUAUUUAUUCAUUAAAAUAUUUAGUAUCUAGUAGUUUGGUAUCAAGCAACGAAAUGGGCGUGAAUAUUUCAGGUAAGCAGAUAGAGAGAACGAGGCUCAGAGGAAAGGUUCAGACACAUUGGAUACAUGGGAUUUGCACUAAUGACAAACCCCCAAAGGAUAAGAGCUGUCAAAAUACAGAGUGGUGAAGGUGUUGGUGGUAGUUGUGGAGUUGGUUCAACUACGACAUUCACCAACCCAUUGAUAGUCAGACGAUUUUCUUACUGAAAUAAAAAGUCAACCAUUUGUUUUACAGUAUUGCAUGCACACGAUGGUCCACCAGAAGGCUCUAAUUUAGUGGCAAUGACAACGAAAAAUGAACUAAACGAAGAAAUCUAUAAAUAAUUACUGUACCAAUACACAACUAAUAGAUCGCGGACGAACCCAUAAUUUAUAUUUUAAAUUAUAUUUAUUUGGCCAGUUGGUUGUUCUCUUUUUAAGACAGUUGUAUGUUUUUCACAUGGCAUACUUUUGAUUGUUUUCAUAUUUAGUUCAAUUUAUUUAUAACUUUUUUUCAAUAUCUUUUAAUGUAAUAUUUUUUAAUAUUAUUUUUAUGACAAUAAAAGAACAAAUGUA
This is a long non-coding RNA of Bombyx mori (domestic silkworm), 1532 nucleotides long. RefSeq lists it as uncharacterized. Lineage: Eukaryota; Metazoa; Arthropoda; Insecta; Lepidoptera; Bombycidae. The record is from RefSeq and is a predicted model, not a curated record. The transcript has 2 exons.